Rosa chinensis is the source of this 640-nucleotide long non-coding RNA. RefSeq lists it as uncharacterized. The transcript is spliced from 4 exons. NCBI's taxonomy places the organism in Eukaryota, Viridiplantae, Streptophyta, Magnoliopsida, Rosales, Rosaceae. The record is from RefSeq and is a predicted model, not a curated record.
GUCUCCGGUAAUGAGCCACAGGAGUGUGCAGCGGACAAUGCAGGCUCACUUGCUUUUAAUAGAAACAAAAGCCAGAGUGAUGAGAAGUCAGUUUCCAAACUAAAUCCAAUGUUUCCUGCCCCCAAGUUCGGAGGUUCUGAAGCAAUGGCUUCUGUCUUUGCUAGGAGAUUAGAUGCUCUUAAGCACAUCAGCCCAUCUGGCAUAACAGAAGGAAAUAUGAAGCUCCUAACUGGUGAAGAGAGUCGAUCUAAAGCUUCUGUGGAUCAGGAUGACUCGAGAGUGGAGACAGAUCUCAAUUUGAGCUGAAAAUUAAAUUCAGCCUCCAAGAAGAUGAGACAUUCUUCAAAUUCAGUUAAAAGAUACAGUGCUUCAAGCUCUGGGCAAAAUAACAUCAAACAAAAACCGGUCAUCCCUUUGUCACAGUUUGUCAAUAUACCAGUUACAGAUGUACCUAAAGGAAUUUAUGACUCUGUAAAAAGGCUUCGCUUGUCUCGCACAGAUGUCCUGAAAUGGAUGGAUUCUCAUACCUCACUCUCAAAUCUGGUGGGGUUUUUCUUGCGUCUGCGGCUUGGUAAAUCUGAAACAGGACUAGGUGGAACUAGAUACUAUGUGUCAUGUAUAACUGGUUGUCAGAGGGAAA